AGAGCGAACGCUGGCGGCAGGCUUAACACAUGCAAGUCGAGCGGGCGUAGCAAUACGUCAGCGGCAGACGGGUGAGUAACGCGUGGGAACGUACCUUUUGGUUCGGAACAACCCAGGGAAACUUGGGCUAAUACCGGAUAAGCCCUUACGGGGAAAGAUUUAUCGCCGAAAGAUCGGCCCGCGUCUGAUUAGCUAGUUGGUGAGGUAAUGGCUCACCAAGGCGACGAUCAGUAGCUGGUCUGAGAGGAUGAUCAGCCACAUUGGGACUGAGACACGGCCCAAACUCCUACGGGAGGCAGCAGUGGGGAAUAUUGGACAAUGGGCGCAAGCCUGAUCCAGCCAUGCCGCGUGAGUGAUGAAGGCCCUAGGGUUGUAAAGCUCUUUGUGCGGGAAGAUAAUGACGGUACCGCAAGAAUAACGCCCCGGCUAACUUCGUGCCAGCAGCCGC
RNAcentral lists this ribosomal RNA (448 nucleotides) under uncultured bacterium. RNAcentral describes it as "SSU rRNA". It matches the Rfam family "Bacterial small subunit ribosomal RNA", at positions 26 to 518 of the family's 1533-position model. The record is from RNAcentral.